CUCCUCACUGCUUAAACAUUAAUUGUGAAGUUGUAUAUAUCAUCUACAUUAUUGUAUUUAGAAUUGAUCUUAAUAUAACCAUUACUAACUUCUCAUCUAGGAUAAUCAGUUUAGUCUAAAAUUUUACUCUGCCCCAGUUUUUUCCCCUACUCAAGUUCAUGUUUUCUGGUUACUGUGACUGUUACUCUAAUGUUCAAUGUUCCUGACUUGAUUCAUCAAACACUAUUAAUACUGAUUGCCCAUUUAAAAAAAUUGUACAUCAGGUAAGGGCCUUAACAUGUGGUCUUUCCUUUCCUUUUCAUCCAAGUUAUGUUAUCUGCUUUCCAGGUCACUGGAUCCUUUGUUCAGUACCAGUCUUGAUCAGUGUUGAUCACUAUCUUUUCAAGUAUUUGUAACUACUUUUAACAUUUCUCCUAUGAUAGCUAGUGGUACCUGCCUAAUUGCAAAUAAAACUUCUCUUAAGACAUAUUCAUUCACUUAUUGAGAAACAUGUGAUUGGCCUGUCCUUAACAGCUAGUAUGUUCCCCACCCAUAAACCAAUGAAGCAUCAGGAUCUAGAUUAUCAAAUCUCUUCAGUACCCUCAAACUUGCUGUGAAGUACUUCUUUCCAACUAUUGGCUAUUUAUUCUUCACAACAGGGUACUUCUGGUCCCCGUCUCCCUUUGGAUUAUUUAGCCAAAUUGUCGUUCCUCCUGUUUUCAUGCCUCUUAAACCUGCAAUUUCUUGUGUAUCCUCUUUGCAAAAUAUUAUUUCCCUUUUAAAUGAAAUUAUGUGCUUCCUAGACCCAUCACUUUUUACCUAUCCUGUGCUUCCUUCCAUACCUGGUUACAUAGAUGAUCCAUUACUUAAAACCUUAUAUAGAAUCCAGGCUCUCCCAGAAGCAUCAUGACAGGCUAUACUGUUAAUUUUCAUGACUAGCUCUAAGAGAUUAAAUUACUAUUUCAGCUGACCUUUUAAGGCAGAGGUUUCUAGCCAGAAAAUACCACCCAGUACUUUAGUGUCUUAAAAACUUUUCUUUUUUUUUUUAAUAUUUAUUUUUUAGUUUUAGGUGGACACAAUAUCUUUAUUUUUUUAUUUUUAUGUGGUGUUAAGGAUCGAAUCCAGCGCCCCACACAUGCCAGGCAAGCAUGCUACCGCUUGAGCUACAUCCCCAGCCUUAAAAACUUUUCUUGCAAGAGAAAAGAAUCUUUCUAGAU
This 1196-nucleotide long non-coding RNA is filed under the name Marmota monax (woodchuck). The record is from RNAcentral. Lineage: Eukaryota; Metazoa; Chordata; Mammalia; Rodentia; Sciuridae.